GAUGAACGCUAGCUACAGGCUUAACACAUGCAAGUCGAGGGGCGGCACAGAGUGGCAACACUUGGGUGGCGACCGGCGCACGGGUGAGUAACACGUAUCCAACCUGUCCCAUACUCGGGGAUAGCCUUUCGAAAGAAGAUUAAUACCCGAUGGUAUCAGAUUAAGGCAUCUUGAUUUGAUUAAAGAGAUUCGGUAUGGGGUGGGGAUGCGUUCCAUUAGCUUGUUGGCGGGGUAACGGCCCA
RNAcentral lists this ribosomal RNA (242 nucleotides) under uncultured bacterium. Its description in RNAcentral is "partial 16S ribosomal RNA". It matches the Rfam family "Bacterial small subunit ribosomal RNA", at positions 28 to 267 of the family's 1533-position model. The record is from RNAcentral.